GAUGAAGAACGUAGCGAAAUGCGAUAAGUAAUGUGAAUUGCAGAAUUCAGUGAAUCAUCGAAUCUUUGAACGCACAUUGCGCCCGCUGGUAUUCCGGCGGGCAUGCCUGUUCGAGCGUCAUUUUACCCCUCAAGUUACACGACUUGGUGUUGGGGCAUUACCUUCCGCGAGGAGGGUAAGCCCUGAAAUAGACUGGCGGGCUCACUAACACUCCGAGCGUAGUAGUUUGUUCAACCUCGCUUCUGGACGGAUUAGUUUGUUUCUUAGCCACUAAACACCCCCCAAUCUUUUAUAAAGUUGACCUCGGAUCAGGUAGGAAUACCCGCUGAACUUAAGCAUAUCAAUAAGCGGAGGA
This 355-nucleotide unclassified non-coding RNA is filed under the name soil metagenome. RNAcentral describes it as "partial contains 5.8S ribosomal RNA, internal transcribed spacer 2, and large subunit ribosomal RNA". The stretch from base 1 to 120 matches the Rfam family "5.8S ribosomal RNA", at positions 35 to 154 of the family's 154-position model. The record is from RNAcentral.